RNAcentral lists this long non-coding RNA (5510 nucleotides) under Papio anubis (olive baboon). Its description in RNAcentral is "lncRNA (ENSPANG00000048140.1)". The record is from RNAcentral. Lineage: Eukaryota; Metazoa; Chordata; Mammalia; Primates; Cercopithecidae.
AUGCCCGCUUCGCCUCCCCUACUCACCGCUCCAGCCGUCGGAGACCCUUUCCCUGAGUGGUGUCAGCACUGCAGCCGCCUCCGUGCGGGCGCCGCUCCGGCUCGCUUCCCCGGGCCGCCUCCGUCUGCCACUCUCGCCUGCAGCGCGCAGAGUGGUGACUCCUCUGAGCGUGUCAGCGGCGAGAGGAGGGGCGGGAAAGUGACUCCUGGCUUGCACGCUGCGGUCCUCCUCCCCUCCUCCGCCUCCCUCCUCCCCCGGUGCUGCAGUGCCGGGCGGCGGCGUGGCGAGAGUACCAGCGGUGCGCAGGGUGUCACGGCGCGCGGGGGGAGGCGGGCGCCGCGCGCCACUCGCGGUGCUCCGGCAAGUCGCGGUGGUGAGGCGCUGCUGAGGAGACCCCAACUCGCGCUUCACUGUUCCAAAGCGGUGGAGAGAAACUCGCUCCGCGAGGCCACACCCAGGCCUGGCGCACCCACCCAGCGGCACCAUCGGAGGGCGUCGCCCUCCCAGGCCUUCCGACGCGGACCCUGCCAUCCGGAUGCUGCGGGAAGUAGGGCAUCCCCACGUCCCUGACUCCUCCAGCUCCGAGCUGUCACGGAACCCAUGUGGAGUGGGAAGCAGUCACACAGGCGUGUGCCUUCCGCGAAAUCGUGGCUCUUGUGGUGGUGACCCAAAGCGAGACAAAGCGCGGCGCCAGUACGGGCUGCAGUGGUUGGAACUCACACACACACAUCUCUCCGCGAAUGUGUUCCAUACGUGUAAAUAUGCCUGGGUGAUUGAAUGGAUGGCUGAAUGAACGCUGUGUGGAUAGAAAUAUAAACGUUACAUGUAUAGUGCAGGCGCCAGGGAAGGAGAGCUAUCAGGCAUCCCCAGGCUGGAGCCUCCUGCACGGAGGAGCCGGUGGAGCCAGGCCGUUCGCCCAGGGCGGUGUUAACUUGGGCUUUCCAAUUCGAUUUGUGCCACUAUGCAGGAUACUGUGAAGAGAAGAAAAUGGAGACAACUCUUGGCCUCUCAUUUUCUCUCCUUUCUGGUUCAGACACUCUGGAACUGUAAGUUAUGGUUCUCAUGUGCUGGUGAACCUACACUUCCUUGCUCGGUCUUUCUUGUUCUGGUGAGAGGCUUUGCAGUCUGUGACCGUAGGCAGUGCUAUGAGAUGGUGAGGCAACAUGAAAAUUAGUGAACGUGCUCAUUUUCAUUUCGUGGAUUUUUCUUAGUAAAAUAAUUAUUUAAAUAGUUAAAUAAUUUAAAUAGUUAAAUAAUUUAAAUAAUUAUUUAGGCUAAAAUUAAUGUGCUGCUACUAUGACAAGGAAGUGCCUAUGAAUCCAGCAUUGGAAAUACAAUUGUGAAAUUUAAAAAUAACAAAUCCUAUAUGGAUUCCCCACAUGUUAUUUAUAAAAAUUUGAGCUUCCAACUGCAAAAUGUGCUGGCAAUUCACUGAGUUCUCAAACGGGUACCUUUUUGAGAACCUCCCCCAAACUGUUGCUGAAUAAUGGAUUGUUUCUCCAAGUGACAGAAGUUCAGAAAACCAUGAAACAAACCUUAAAAGCGAUCAACGUUCUUCAUGCUAUGCUGUAUCAUCCUUAAAUCAUUCUCCUAUCUUGUCCAUGGAAGAUAUAUAUAUUUUUAAAGUGGAUUGAUUUUUCUACCUCUGGAUUUUCGUGUCUUGAUGCAUUUGAAGGUAACAGCUCCUUUAGGAUAAUCCCUGAUUGUGUGUUUGCAGGAAACAUCCCAUUUAAGACCCGGUUGCACUGGAAAAGGCUAUUUUAACGUUGUGUCUUUGGAGGAUAGGAAACACUUUGUCAUGAUGAUGUUGUGCCCUGGUUCCUGGACUUGCCCUCUAAAGCAGUUCUGGUUCUAGGGUCCUGCCUGGCACACACCUUGGCUCCAGGCCCCUUGGAUCCAGCACUCAGACUAGUUUUAUUCACGCUGUCAUUAUAAUGAAAUGUUUUCUCUCUUCUGAAAACACCUGUCUUGUAGAAGCAUAUGAAGGGAAAAGGGGUACACCCCCCAAUCCCCACAGAAUCCCAGUGCUCUAAAGUCAUUGCCCUCCUACACAUCAGGACUUUUGUUCCUCAAUGCAGAGUAUCUUCCUGUGAUGCUAAAACACAAGCUGUGAAAGACACCUAAUGAGCAUGAGAGGUCUGUUUUUGCAUCAGCAAAGUGGUUUUGAUAAAAAUAAUUCACACUAAGUACAGAUGCUAUAGUGGCUAUAUUUUAUAAUAUACACAAGAAGCACAGUGCCUAGUACAUAAUGGGUAUAGAAUAAAUGUUAGUCACUCUUCCUCUUUUAGUAGUCAGGGCAAGGUUUUCCAAAGGCUGUGCUUUGGAGAAUUGGUUUUGUAAGAUGCUCUGGAAAGUCAGAGUUACACCUGGCUUCCACAGCAGAGGUCUGAAGAGAGCCCCAUACUGUUGGACCAAGUUUGUACAGCUCUCCACUUCUCCUCCUCAUCAUCAGGAGUCUAUAGAAAAGUGCAGACACCUACUCUUCUUAACCCAACACUCAGCUUCUACAACACUCAAAACUAUUUUUUGGCUCUUUUGUAAUUUUAAUCAAGGUAUUACUAUUCAUUUUUAAAAAUUAUCUCUUAUAAGCACCACAUUUUAAUAUCUAAGUCAAUAUUGGCGGAAAGAAACACCACCAAAAACUUCCCUUUGGAACAAAACAAUGAUGUUCAUUCCUCCAAAAAUCCACAUUGAAAGUCUAUCAUAACCAAAACAAAAAAAAGCCCACGGAGAAACAAAAAGUAACAAAAAUCACAUUCUAGGGUGUUAGGACAUUUGGCAGUCUUUACUGUGCUGUUGAACCAUCCUUCAGCUGGCUUUCAAAAAAAUAACACCCUAAGCUCAUCAAAAUAUACAUUUGCCAUUUGCUUUUUAAAAUUAAAAAUAAUAAUUAAAAAGAAAACUUCAAGGAAUUCACAAUCAAUUGCCUGACUUGUUUCAAUGUCAUGUACAGCAUAUGGAAGUGAAAAAGGCCAUUUGCAGCACUUGUGAUUAAGGGAUAUUCAUCUUCAAGGUUUAGCUUUCUUCCAGACAGUGUGAAAUACCCACAAUUUGAAGUUUGAAGGGACACAGACGAUCUCCUUUGAGAAUUCCACAAGGCAAUGCAGGCACCCAAGCUGUUCUUCGAAGGGUGGCAGGGCUUCUGUCAGAUUGACACAGUUCCCACGUGUAAAAUAUUUCCCAUCCUAUUUCAAUACAUUCAUUGAGGGGUCAAAAAUCAGUCCGAGAAACUCCCACGUGGAAUCUUGUUCCGGAGAUGUGGAUAUUGGAACAGCUGUCAAAUCAUUAGUCACAUAAUCCAAUUCUCUCCCUUCUCUGGUGUGCCUCUUCAGUAUUGGAAUACAGUCUUCUAUCAGAGCCUGAUAGCAGUCUCCUUUCAGAUUGUCUACAACAUCACCACAUGUGUUUUGCAUAUAUUUCUUACAUCCAUCAAUCACCAUUUGGUCAAUCUCUACCAUAGUGACCAUCUUUGAUUUUAGUUUGACUGUUUCACAUAAUAUGCCCCCAUCUCAGCCUCUGAGAGUCAGUACCUCUUUGCCAGUGCAAUCUGCUUUGCUGCUGCCCAUGAUGGCCCAGGUAUAUGCAAAUCACUCUGCCAAAUCAACAUCUCUACUAAGGAUGAGAAUAUUUCCAAAUUGCUUCUAGUGUAGAAUUUUAAUGUUCCAAUAAGGUGAAUCUUCAUUAUACACCACUUCAUCUAUGUCAUAUUCGACCAGGCGCCCAUUGGUGGUGGACCAAUGUCUGUUGAUGGCCCCUCUUCAGACUACGGGUGGUAAUGGCUUCACCAGCCCAGUACUGUCUUGACUCAAUUCUUUCAUUCUUUUUUCUACUUUGUUCGAAAGGCUGUCGAUCUCUUCUUUGCCCUGCAGGUCACCAUUGUAACUCUGAAGGUCCAGCAACAUCAAUCCAUGUAGGUAAAUUCUUAAAUUGGCAAAGAUGCUAUUUCUGUGUUUCCAUUUGUAGAUUGCCAAAUAGCCACGGUCCUGCCAGGUGUGCACUGACUCCGCCAUCCCGUGCUCCUGGAAAAUGGACUGGAGGCCUGUUAGAAUGGUCUUGCCAUCAGCUUUGGCACUGAGCAUGAAUUUGAUCUUGCUGUGCCAUGCUGCUGUCACAGUGAGGCGAGGCCCUCCUGUGCCAUGCUUCAGGGAGGUGGCUGUGGGAGCCAGGGGGUGGGGGCAUGCCCGUGUCAGGCUGUGGCCCACAGGAGUCAAAACAGUAUGUUUUGAGUCUACCAAUGUUCAUCUUGUUAAGCCCUUAAUGCCUACUUGUAUCAGUACCACAAGAAGCCCCAAAAUCUCAAGUGCUUUUCUCAUCUCUCACGUUCUAAUGCUCAUAAGGCUCAGCACACCUAGUAUUCUGUCUCUUUCUCCCUAUCCAACUCCUGAAACUCUCUGACUAUGCCUCCUAGACUUCGAAGUCCACUGUUAGCAAAAUGCCCAAUAUCCUCAACCUCAUCUCCAAGUGUUCUCUUCACCUUUUUGUUCUCAUGGAAGUAUGGCUUGCCUUCCUAAGAGGCUGCUCUCCCACAACCCUCUCAAGUGACGGCUGACUUUUUCCCUCCAAUGCUUGCAUCACUUGUGUCUGGAGAUAGGAAAGUGGUGUCCUUGUUCUGCAUUGCUACUUCUGGAACAUUCUUCACCACUCCUCCCUGAAACCUACUGCUAUAAAUCUCCUUUCAUCAGGUUAUUUCACCCACUACUCUUAGAUGUGGAUAGCAGACUCAGACCUCCAGGUAACUCCACAACUUUCCUGACUGACUCCCAAGUCAAUGUCACUUCCUGAACACUAAUCCUGUUUUAAUCCUUGGCAAUUUAAUAUACACACAGAUAUUCAUUCCAACCAGUACAACCCGUAGACCUGGGCAAACAAGGACUUGGUCUCCAUGCUCCAUGCCUUAAACAACUCUAAAGUUUAAGAGUUAGAGACCACCUCUCUGGUGGCCAGGUUCUUUUGGUGGGGUCACUUAAGCCUACACCCAGAUCCACGUGGACCCUAUCCCCGUUUCUCCCCUUCAGUGUGCUCUUCACCUUUCUUCUGACCCCAAAACUCAUUGUAGUCUUGACCAAAUGCCCCAAGGAGCUGCAGAGCUCCCACUUACGAAGUCAGCCGUGGAUGUGUAGACAGGUCCUGGUUCUAGGAAGGCAGUUUGGCAAGUGGAUUGCUCUGGUGGCUGGUGCCCCCAUUUCCUUUCCAAAAUUGUGGAAGAUCGGCAACCAGAACCAGAAGGGUGCUGCCACAUUGAGUUUGGGUAACUCGCAUUGUUUCCAUAGACACCCCGUCUCCUACCCUCCUACUCUCCCUCUUAUUUUAUGUUUUUAAAAAUUAGUUUGUUUGAAUCAAGAUCCAAACAAGGUCUACCAUACAUUGCAAUUGGUUGAUAUGUCUCUUAAAUCUCUAUUUAUCUAUUGGUUCAUCUUUCCUUUCUUUUCCCUUCAUAAUUUACUAUAGAUGAAGAAACCUUAUGUCCUAUAGAGCUCUCCACAGUCUGAAUUUUACUGAUUUUGUUCCCG